Long non-coding RNA from Rhagoletis pomonella (apple maggot), 218 nucleotides. RefSeq lists it as uncharacterized. The transcript has 3 exons. The record is from RefSeq and is a predicted model, not a curated record. Lineage: Eukaryota; Metazoa; Arthropoda; Insecta; Diptera; Tephritidae.
GGCGUGUGCAUCAGGUAAACGGACACAAGUUUAUGGCGACUUUCUUGCGACAGCCGACUUUUUGUUCACAUUGCCAAAAAUUUAUUUGGGGAAUUGGUAAACAAGGCUAUCAAUGUCAAGGUAUGUGUUCACAUGCAGCAACAACAACAACUACAUACUCGGUAUUCCUACUCGUACUCGUACUCGUUAUUGCAUUUGUACUCGUUUUUUUUCAAACU